This 439-nucleotide ribosomal RNA is filed under the name uncultured bacterium. Its description in RNAcentral is "partial 16S ribosomal RNA". It matches the Rfam family "Bacterial small subunit ribosomal RNA", at positions 339 to 795 of the family's 1533-position model. The record is from RNAcentral.
CUACGGGGCGCUGCAGUGAGGAAUAUUGCACAAUGGGGGGAACCCUGAUGCAGCAACGCCGCGUGGAGGAUGACGCAUUUCGGUGUGUAAACUCCUUUUAUAUGUCAAGAAAAUGACGGUAGCAUAUGAAUAAGCGCCGGCUAACUCCGUGCCAGCAGCCGCGGUAAUACGGAGGGCGCAAGCGUUACUCGGAAUCACUGGGCGUAAAGGACGCGUAGGCGGGUUGAAAAGUCAGGUGUGAAAGCCUACAGCUUAACUGUAGAACUGCACUUGAAACUCUUAAUCUAGAGUAUGGGAGGGGCAGAUGGAAUUAGUGGUGUAGGGGUAAAAUCCGUAGAUAUCACUAGGAAUACCUAAAGCGAAGGCGAUCUGCUGGAACAUUACUGACGCUAAGGCGUGAAAGCGUGGGGAGCAAACAGGAUUAGAUACCCUGGUAGUC